AAGAUGCUUAUAGUAGAAAUCUAAACCAUGAAACUCUAGGUUAAUUUCUCCAUUAAUUGUAGCUCCUGAAGGGUGAGCAAUGAGUUUGAUUAUGAAAAAGUGAUAAAUCAUUUUAAAAAUCAUUUUCAAGAAAUAUUGGACCCGUUUGAUAUAGAUUUGUUUAUAAAUGAUUCGCAUUGUGAUAAAUAUUUAAAAAAUAAAAUUUUAACAAAAAUUGAUUAAAAUAAUUUUUCAUGUAAUAUAUUAUAUUUUUGAUACAACUUUUU
This 266-nucleotide long non-coding RNA is filed under the name Lathyrus oleraceus (garden pea). Its description in RNAcentral is "Pisum sativum (pea) long non-coding RNA (PSAT_LNC038537)". The record is from RNAcentral. Lineage: Eukaryota; Viridiplantae; Streptophyta; Magnoliopsida; Fabales; Fabaceae.